GCCGCCCUGGCUCAGCGUGGUAGAGCAACGGACUGUUAAUCCGUGGGUCGACAGUUCAAGUCUGUCGGGCGGCGCCA
RNAcentral lists this transfer RNA (77 nucleotides) under Nitrososphaerota archaeon. Its description in RNAcentral is "Thaumarchaeota archaeon tRNA-Asn". It matches the Rfam family "tRNA". From Rfam's summary of the family: Transfer RNA (tRNA) molecules are approximately 80 nucleotides in length. The record is from RNAcentral. Lineage: Archaea; Thermoproteati; Nitrososphaerota. RNAcentral also lists the same sequence under 1 other name.